ACGUACGCUGGCGGCACGCCUAACACAUGCAAGUCGAACGAAGUAGCAAUACUUAGUGGCGAACGGGUGAGUAUAAUGUGGGUAUCUGCCUUUUGGUUUGGAAUAACACGGGGAAACUUGUGCUAAUACUAGAUAAGCCUUUACAGGGAAAGCUUUAGCGCCGAAAGAUGAGCCCACACUUGAUUAGCUAGUUGGUAAGGUAAUGGCUUACCAAGGCUACGAUCAAUAGUUGAUCUGAGAGGAUGAUCAGCCACAUUGGGACUGAGACACGGCCCAAACUCCUACGGGAGGCAGCAGUGGGGAAUCUUGCACAAUGGGGGAAACCCUGAUGCAGCGAUGCCGCGUGAGUGAAGAAGGCCUUUGGGUUGUAAAGCUCUUUCGUCGGGGAAGAAAAUGACUGUACCCGAAUAAGAAGGUCCGGCUAACUUCGUGCCAGCAGCCGCGGUAAUACGAAGGGACCUAGCGUAGUUCGGAAUUACUGGGCUUAAAGAGCUCGUAGGUGGUUAGAAAAGUUAGUGGUGAAAUCCCAAGGCUUAACCUUGGAACUGCCACUAAAACUUUUUAACUAGAGUAUGAUAGAGGAAAGUGGAAUUUCUAGUGUAGAGGUGAAAUUCGUAGAUAUUAGAAAGAACACCAAUUGCGAAGGCAGCUUUCUGGAUCAUUACUGACACUGAGGAGCGAAAGCAUGGGUAGCGAAGAGGAUUAGAUACCCUCGUAGUCCAUGCCGUAAACGAUGUGUGCUAGACGUUGGAAAUUUAUUUUUCAGUGUCGCAGCAAAAGCGUUAAGCACACCGCCUGGGGAGUACGACCGCAAGGUUAAACUCAAUGAAUUGACGGGC
This 839-nucleotide ribosomal RNA is filed under the name alpha proteobacterium SCGC AAA288-F15. RNAcentral describes it as "SSU rRNA". It matches the Rfam family "Bacterial small subunit ribosomal RNA", at positions 29 to 918 of the family's 1533-position model. Lineage: Bacteria; Pseudomonadati; Pseudomonadota; Alphaproteobacteria. The record is from RNAcentral.